UUAUAUUGCAGAUAGGAAAGGGAUUCACCAAAAAUGGUUUGUCCUUUUUUUAUGUCAAUUUCUAUGCUGUAUAUCUGUGUCACUGAAUGAAAGUUUAAGCGUUAUAUAAGAACGCCAGCCACAGAGCCACCAAUCAGGUGGUAUUUUUUUUG
RNAcentral lists this non-coding RNA (152 nucleotides) under unclassified sequences. RNAcentral describes it as "DUF3800-I RNA". It matches the Rfam family "DUF3800-I RNA". Rfam says of the family: Actinobacteria, Firmicutes, Fusobacteria, Proteobacteria (1 example), Tenericutes (2 examples). The record is from Rfam by way of RNAcentral.